RNAcentral lists this ribosomal RNA (468 nucleotides) under uncultured bacterium. Its description in RNAcentral is "partial 16S ribosomal RNA". It matches the Rfam family "Bacterial small subunit ribosomal RNA", at positions 28 to 507 of the family's 1533-position model. The record is from RNAcentral.
GACGAACGCUGGCGGCGUGCUUAACACAUGCAAGUCGAACGGAAAGGCCCUGCUCUUGUGGGUUGCUCGAUUGGCGCACGGGUGAGUAACACGUGAGUAACCCGCCCCUGACUUUGGGAUAUCUUCAGGAAACUGGGGCUAAUACCCGAUAGGAUCUCUUGCUGCAUGGUGGGGGUUGGUAAGUUUCGGCGGUUGGGGCUGGACUCGCGGCUUAUCCGCUUGUUUGUGGAGUAGUGGCUUACCAAGGCUUUGACGGGUAGCCGGCCUGAGAGGGUGACCGGCCACAUUAGGCCUGAGAGACGGCCCAGAAUCCUACGGGAGGCAGAAGUGGGGAAUAUGGCACAGUGGGCGGAAGCCAGAGGCAGCGACGCCGCGUGCGGGAUGACGGCCUUCGGGUUGUAAACCGCUGUCGCCUGUGACGAAGCGUGAGUGACGGUAACGGGUAAAGAAGCAACGGCUAACUACGUG